CAUCUGUUGUAAAACUAACGAAUGCUACAACGAUAAUGCAUAGCUUGUCAACAUUAUCAGUUGAACUUUAUCGUUGAUCACAAUUACCCAAUUACUGCAUAUCGACACCUGUAACAUUGGAUCAAUGGCUGUGGAUAUCGGUGCCCAACAGACUGUCUCUAUUUGCAAGCAUUGCUCGUCUCAGUCAUGGCUUCCCGCCUCCUCCUCCUCCAUGUUGACCUGAAUCAGCGCUGCAAACGCUUCUCGUGGAGCUGGGAAAUGCUGCACGAGGAGGCUUUGUCAACAUGCUGAUACAGGCAACUGAUCACAGCGAAAUUAAGACAACAAAAAUGAAUGAGCAACCAUUUAAAUCACGUGGUUCAGUUUUUUGCACGAUGAUUCUACAGCUGCAAGCCAAACAAACGUUCUGCACGGCUACUGGGAUGGACUAAAAUGGAACUUACCUUUACACAGAACUGACAACGGACACACAGAAGUGAAAAGCCUUUUGCUCUGACUUGGAAACAGCGUGACUGACAAAAGACUUCGACUACACCAACCACCCGCCAACUCUGCUUGAGCAUGCGUCAAUUUACGAUCGCGACAAUGGCAUCAUGGGAGAUUGAGUGUCAACAAUGGGAAAGUAUUUUAGACAGUGAAGACAGACAGGAAGUGAGUGGAGGAGGGAGAGAUGGGGUGGUAUCAGGACAUGACCGCAGGUUGGACUCAAACCUGGGUCCCCGUGGGUACUUGGACCCAGUCAUGUAUCCACCUGGCAUUUGCCCUUGCUCUGCCUCCACCAGCUGAUGACGUCCCAUCCCUCUUGACCAUCUGAUGAGAAGCCAGGUAUCUACGGGUUGACUCUACAGAUACAGUACCUGCUGACGGUUGCCAUGGAACGGAUAUACAGUAACCAAGAGAUUGUUU
Long non-coding RNA from Sardina pilchardus (European sardine), 906 nucleotides. RefSeq lists it as uncharacterized. The record is from RefSeq and is a predicted model, not a curated record. NCBI's taxonomy places the organism in Eukaryota, Metazoa, Chordata, Actinopteri, Clupeiformes, Clupeidae. The transcript is spliced from 5 exons.